GGAACAAUAACAUACACACAUGCUGACACUGCACACACAGGAGCAACAGCAUACACACAUACUGACAUUACAUACACACAGGAACAAACACAUGCACAUAUACUGACAUUGUAAACACACACAAGAACACUAACUUAAACACGUACAGACAAUACUCAUAAGAACAACCACAUACAUACAUACUGACAUUGCACACACACAAUGACAUUGCACACACACAGGAACAACAUACACACAUAUUGACAUUGUACUCAUAGGAACAACCACAUGCACAAUACUGACAUUGCACACACAGGAACAACAACAUACACA
Pelobates cultripes (western spadefoot toad) is the source of this 312-nucleotide non-coding RNA. Lineage: Eukaryota; Metazoa; Chordata; Amphibia; Anura; Pelobatidae. The record is from the annotation of a GenBank genome assembly.